Molecule: unclassified non-coding RNA, 526 nt
Filed under: Bombus terrestris (buff-tailed bumblebee)
Lineage: Eukaryota; Metazoa; Arthropoda; Insecta; Hymenoptera; Apidae
Description: misc RNA ENSBTSG00005027448.1
Source: RNAcentral
AUACUCUUGAUGUUCAACAAAAAAGGUUUACUAAACUAUUAACAAUUAACAAUCAACAACCAACGAUUAACAAUCAAGAGUUAAUAAUCACGUAUCUCGAAUUGUGUUUGCUUUGCUAUGACCCUAGACCUUUCGCACUUCAUAGCUCGAGGCAGAAUGAAUCUUUUGUUCGAAACCAAACGGAUUCUUUUCUUUGUUGCCCCUCGAUAUUCCCAUUACGCACGCGUUUAUUAGAUGUCCAUGACAGUUGCCGCGUAUGCAUUCUUCCGAAUAUUCGGCAAAAGAGCCGUAGGGAUAUCUAUGGUACAUUAGGCAUGUCGACCUUACGCUUUGAAGGUAUAGCGCUUUGUGUCGCGAAACCGUUGGAAAGUUCCGUGGUCGAGUACCGCCACAUACGUAUUCUAACGUACUUCUUAAAUUUCUGAAGUAUAAUGUGACCGACCGUUUGUCGAGAAGGAUCAGGAAAUCAAAAGCAAUCGUGCACCCCCGCGGCGAUCAUCUCGCCUUCGCCUGGUUUCGCGUCCGA